This 483-nucleotide ribosomal RNA is filed under the name uncultured bacterium. RNAcentral's name for it is "partial 16S ribosomal RNA". It matches the Rfam family "Bacterial small subunit ribosomal RNA", at positions 30 to 506 of the family's 1533-position model. The record is from RNAcentral.
AUUGAACGCUGGCGGCAGGCCUAACACAUGCAAGUCGAGCGGAUGAAGGGAGCUUGCUCCUGGAUUCAGCGGCGGACGGGUGAGUAAUGCCUAGGAAUCUGCCUGGUAGUGGGGGAUAACGUCCGGAAACGGGCGCUAAUACCGCAUACGUCCUGAGGGAGAAAGUGGGGGAUCUUCGGACCUCACGCUAUCAGAUGAGCCUAGGUCGGAUUAGCUAGUUGGUGGGGUAAAGGCCUACCAAGGCGACGAUCCGUAACUGGUCUGAGAGGAUGAUCAGCCACACUGGAACUGAGACACGGUCCAGACUCCUACGGGAGGCAGCAGUGGGGAAUAUUGGACAAUGGGCGAAAGCCUGAUCCAGCCAUGCCGCGUGUGUGAAGAAGGUCUUCGGAUUGUAAAGCACUUUAAGUUGGGAGGAAGGGCAGUAAGUUAAUACCUUGCUGUUUUGACGUUACCAACAGAAUAAGCACCGGCUAACUUCGU